UAAUAUAUUUGGGGCAGAUCCUCAUCUAAUUGUGACAAACUCAUAUUUUAUUUAAAAUCAUUCAUUAUCGCAGGCCCAACUAUAAUAUCAAUACAUCAAUAGGAUAACAUUUUUUUCGUUUCACUUGAAU
Molecule: non-coding RNA, 130 nt
Organism: Populus trichocarpa (black cottonwood)
Lineage: Eukaryota; Viridiplantae; Streptophyta; Magnoliopsida; Malpighiales; Salicaceae
Source: Rfam